Gasterosteus aculeatus aculeatus (three-spined stickleback) is the source of this 1610-nucleotide non-coding RNA. The record is from RefSeq and is a predicted model, not a curated record. NCBI's taxonomy places the organism in Eukaryota, Metazoa, Chordata, Actinopteri, Perciformes, Gasterosteidae.
AGGAAGUAUUACUACACCAAUCACAUGUACUCGUAAGUUCGCCACAAACUAUAAACCCUGUUGCCAUGGAGACGCGCAAUCAGAUGGAGGCUUUGCCAAGACGACCGGGAGGUGCAGCAUUCUGAGCCGGCCUGUGGACCGGUCUGGUAUGCGGCGAGUGAGCCGGACCAAAGGCCCGUCGACAAUGGCGAGUCUGUGCGGCGUGCCGGCGGGGACGAGGACGGCGUCCUGCCAGAGACGGAGACACCUGGGCUACAUCUAUCGAUUGCUCAAAAUGAUCAUUUUAACACGUUUUUGAUUUAUACAUGAAACGACAAUAUCAAACAUAGAAGAAGAAGUAGUUAUUUUUCUAGCUCUGCGCGGUCAGAGGAGUCGCCCCCUGGUGGCCGGUAGACAGAACGCAGCUGUGUGACAGAGAAAGCUCCAUCCCGUCUACCGCCAUCAAAACACAAAGGCUGCUUUAAAGUAGUAAAACCCGCUUCUUGCUCAAUCUGAUGCCCGGGGCAAAGCGUGACAUUGGUUAGUGGGGCAACUCCACCCCUUUUCUUUUUUUUCUCCCCUCUUCACUCUUGUUCUCUCGCUCACCAAUUUGUAAAUGUUUUCUUUUGUUUACGUGUGUGAAUGUAUACAAUCGAGAGGCUAUUGGUGUACCGUUUAUCUACAGUACUCGUGUACUUAUGAGUAGAUGUCCUGAACCUCUUUUUUUUUACUUUGUUUGUUUUUAAAUGUCAUAAAGAUAUCACAACUUCUUAACUCAAGAAAUGCAGAAUCCUUUGUUCGCAUCUUCCGCCGCAAAUUAAAGACACACCUCUUCACCGCUUCAGAAAUUGUACUUAUAAUAAGUACAUGCCACUUAUCUAUAGCAAAUUGUGAAUUGGCUUAUUAAAAGCGUCAGCUAAAUGACCUGUAAUAUAAUGUAAUGUCAUUUAAAUGUGUUGUUUGUUAUCACUAAGCAUCAUUCAACACCUCUCAGGCCCAACAAGACCACACAUGCACAAACACACACAGGUACAGAAACCCACGCACACAAACACACACAGGUACAGAAACCCACGCACACAAACACACACAGGUACAGAAACCCACGCACACAAACACACACACACACUCCCCCAAACCUCAAAACAAACACUCUCUACCAACUUUGCUGCUCCUCUUUUUCUCGCUUUCAGCUCUUCAGUUGAAACCAUUUGUUCUCCUCACUUUGCUUUUUCGUCCUGCUGGUUUUUUCUGUCCUUCUUUGUAUGAUUUCUUAAACUUGUCUGCUCUUGUUUUAUACGCACCUUUCAACACGAUGAAAUAUUCUGCCGAUGUUAAUUUCACGCAUGAAUUUCAUGCAAUAAAAACUGUCUGGCUGAGAAAUGGUCGGCUUCAGUUUGUGAACGUGUUGUUAUCUUUACGUUAUGAUGGCAGGUUAGAGGGAUAUUCAAAAGUUUUAAUGUCCUGAACCUCUUUUUUUACACACAAAGACGUCACAACUUCUUAACUCAAGAAAUACAGGAUCCUUUAUUGUCAUAAUCCAACAGAGGGAUGCACGGAUAAAUCCAGCUGUAGCUCUCGCAAAAAGACGUUCAUUUGAUAAAUGUUGUUAAUAAACCUUUUUUCCACAA